This 406-nucleotide ribosomal RNA is filed under the name uncultured bacterium. RNAcentral's name for it is "partial 16S ribosomal RNA". It matches the Rfam family "Bacterial small subunit ribosomal RNA", at positions 30 to 526 of the family's 1533-position model. The record is from RNAcentral.
AUUGAACGCUGGCGGCAUGCCUAACACAUGCAAGUCGAACGAGUGGCGGACGGGUGAGUAAUGUCUGGGAAAAUGCCUGAUGGAGGGGGAUAACUACUGGAAACGGUAGCUAAUACCGCAUACCAUCAGAUGGGCCAAGAUGGGAUUAGCUUGUUGGUAGGGUAACGGCUCACCAAGGCGACGAUCCCUAGCUGGUUUGAGAGGAUGACCAGCCACACUGGAACUGAGACACGGUCCAGACUCCUACGGGAGGCAGCAGUGGGGAAUAUUGCACAAUGGGCGAAAGCCUGAUGGAGCCAUGCCGCGUGUAUGAAGAAGGCCUUCGGGUUGUAAAGUACUUUCGGCGGGGAGGCGUUACCCGCAGAAGAAGCACCGGCUAACUCCGUGCCAGCCGCCGCGGUAAUUC